Long non-coding RNA from Megalops cyprinoides (Indo-Pacific tarpon), 534 nucleotides. RefSeq lists it as uncharacterized. The transcript is spliced from 4 exons. Lineage: Eukaryota; Metazoa; Chordata; Actinopteri; Elopiformes; Megalopidae. The record is from RefSeq and is a predicted model, not a curated record.
GUAUGUGUACGCUUCAGUCCGGUGUUCGGGACGCUCUGCUGAAGCCGUCUACGUCCUGAGGAUUACAAACCUUUCAAGUUUUACUACCACGAUCGUAGCCGUACUGGAACAGUGGAUUAUUUCGUCGUAUGAACACCACGCAAGUUCAAACAUUACAAGUCAGUGAAACAAACAAGUGUUGCGACUGCAGUUUGCCUGGUCUGGGUAGCACCUGGAUUCUUCUCCCACGCGCGUCAGCCGUCUGCAGCCCUGCCUUCGGAUUGGACGAAAGCCCCAGGACCUUGCUGAGCCCCGCUGUCCGAACUUGAGUGCAUACACGGGGGCCUAACCCCCCUUUACACUUAGCACCACCACCCCUCCAAUAACAACUGCAGCUGUAACCAGAGCAACCCGCCUGCUACCACCAUAGCUCCGCCCACACCAACCUCCUCACCCUGUGAGAGCUGAAGGCAACAGUAAUUGGCUGAUUGUACAUCAGUGCUUACCAUCACAACUGGCACAGACUGUACAGUGGCUGUCUGUGAUGAUACCCUG